RNAcentral lists this ribosomal RNA (257 nucleotides) under uncultured bacterium. RNAcentral's name for it is "partial 16S ribosomal RNA". It matches the Rfam family "Bacterial small subunit ribosomal RNA", at positions 524 to 778 of the family's 1533-position model. The record is from RNAcentral.
UACGUAGGGCGCAAGCGUUAUCCGGAAUUAUUGGGCGUAAAGAGCUCGUAGGCGGUUUGUCGCGUCUGCCGUGAAAGUCCGGGGCUCAACUCCGGAUCUGCGGUGGGUACGGGCAGACUAGAGUGAUGUAGGGGGAGACUGGAAUUCCAGGUGUAGCGGUGAAAUGCGUAGAGUAUCUGGAGGAACACCGGUGGCGAAGGCGGCAUCCUGGACCGAUAUUGACGCUGAGGAGCGAAAGCCAGGGGAGCAAAGCGGGG